CCCUUAGAUGUUCUGGGCCGCACGCGCGCUACACUGAUGCAUUCAACGAGCCUAUCCUUGACCGACAGGUCCGGGUAAUCUUUGAAUCUGCAUCGUGACGGGGAUAGAUUAUUGCAAUUAUUAAUCUUCAACGAGGAAUGCCUAGUAGGCGCAAGUCAUCAGCUUGCGUCGAUUACGUCCCUGCCCUUUGUACACACCGCCCGUCGCUCCUACCGAUUGGGUGUGCUGGUGAAAUGUUCGGAUCGGCCGUUUGUCGCGGUUUCCGCGUCAUGUGGCUGAGAAGUUCCUUAAACCCUCCCACCUAGAGGAAGGAGAAGUCGUAACA
Molecule: ribosomal RNA, 325 nt
Filed under: uncultured eukaryote
Lineage: Eukaryota
Description: partial 18S ribosomal RNA
Rfam family: Eukaryotic small subunit ribosomal RNA
Source: RNAcentral